CCGUUGACCUUCACCCAAGAAAAAGAAAUAAAAUUUCAUCUUCCUUUCCAAGAGCUAACCGAUGCACACCUUCCUCUUUUCUUCUUCUCUUUUCUUUUCAUCUUCAAGAAAACAAGCUUUUUUAUCUCCCUCAAGCUUGUGACUCCAUGGCAAGGGAAGAAGAAAAAUAUUUUCUUCAAAGCUUGGAACCAAAGCUUGAUCUUAUCUUCCAAAGGAUGAAAUAUUGAAGUGCUAUCACUUUGUUCUUCAUCUACACGGGUUUAUCACCAAUUGGUCCUCCACUUGUAUUUUGAAAGAAGCUAAGAGUUCAAGUUAAGGUGAGGAGUAAUUAUUUGGGUUAAUGCUAAGCAUAGAAUGGACAUUAGAUUGUAGUAUCGUGGCUUUCUCUUUUAAAGGAAGGGCUAAAAAAUAUUGUAUGAGUAUUAACACGCUUAUGCUAUUUAUUGGAAUAUGACCUAUAUUGACGUUGGAAGUAUCGAG
This is a long non-coding RNA of Juglans microcarpa x Juglans regia, 480 nucleotides long. RefSeq lists it as uncharacterized. The transcript has 4 exons. The record is from RefSeq and is a predicted model, not a curated record. Lineage: Eukaryota; Viridiplantae; Streptophyta; Magnoliopsida; Fagales; Juglandaceae.